GACGAACGCUGGCGGCGUGCUUAACACAUGCAAGUCGAACGGAAAGGCCCUGCUUUUGUGGGGUGCUCGAGUGGCGAACGGGUGAGUAACACGUGAGUAACCUGCCCUUGACUUUGGGAUAACUUCAGGAAACUGGGGCUAAUACCGGAUAGGAGCUCCUGCUGCAUGGUGGGGGUGGGAAAGUUUCGGCGGUUGGGGAUGGACUCGCGGCUUAUCAGCUUGUUGGUGGGGUAGUGGCUUACCAAGGCUUUGACGGGUAGCCGGCCUGAGAGGGUGACCGGCCACAUUGGGACUGAGAUACGGCCCAGACUCCUACGGGAGGCAGCAGUGGGGAAUAUUGCACAAUGGGCGGAAGCCUGAUGCAGCAACGCCGCGUGCGGGAUGACGGCCUUCGGGUUGUAAACCGCUUUCGCCUGUGACGAAGCGUGAGUGACGGUAAUGGGUAAAGAAGCACCGGCUAAUUACGUG
RNAcentral lists this ribosomal RNA (468 nucleotides) under uncultured bacterium. RNAcentral's name for it is "partial 16S ribosomal RNA". It matches the Rfam family "Bacterial small subunit ribosomal RNA", at positions 28 to 507 of the family's 1533-position model. The record is from RNAcentral.